UACGGAGGGUGCGAGCGUUGUCCGGAAUCACUGGGCGUAAAGGGCGCGUAGGCGGCGCGGGUAGUCAUCGGUGAAAGUUCAGGGCUCAACUCUGAAUCGGCCGGUGAUACUCCCGUGCUCGAGCACUGUAGAGGCAGGUGGAAUUCCGGGUGUAGCGGUGGAAUGCGUAGAGAUCCGGAAGAACACCGGUGGCGAAGGCGGCCUGCUGGGCAGUAGCUGACGCUGAGGCGCGACAGUGUGGGGAGCAAACAGG
Molecule: ribosomal RNA, 253 nt
Filed under: uncultured bacterium
Lineage: Bacteria
Description: partial 16S ribosomal RNA
Rfam family: Bacterial small subunit ribosomal RNA
Source: RNAcentral